UCCCUGCUUUUCCUCCCUGAGCAGGUGCCUUCACGUGAUGACAGCGUCAAGGCUUUUAAAGCCUCGGCCCUUUGGCCGGGGCUCUUUCUUU
RNAcentral lists this non-coding RNA (91 nucleotides) under Vitreoscilla filiformis. RNAcentral describes it as "Burkholderia RNA 7 (anti-hemB)". It matches the Rfam family "Burkholderia RNA 7 (anti-hemB)". From Rfam's summary of the family: This RNA motif was identified by computational search in b-proteobacteria Burkholderia. Co-purified with Hfq, expression confirmed by Northern blot. Putative functional homologue of SP-RydB and predicted target hemB. The record is from Rfam by way of RNAcentral. Lineage: Bacteria; Pseudomonadati; Pseudomonadota; Betaproteobacteria; Neisseriales; Neisseriaceae.